RNAcentral lists this long non-coding RNA (807 nucleotides) under Carassius auratus (goldfish). Its description in RNAcentral is "lncRNA (ENSCARG00000050239.1)". The record is from RNAcentral. Lineage: Eukaryota; Metazoa; Chordata; Actinopteri; Cypriniformes; Cyprinidae.
AAUAAAUUCAAGCAUUAUGAACUGUUACUAUAGUUCAAUCUAAUGCCUUUGUCAAAUAUCAUAUAAAUGCGGUUCUCUUUUCAGCAGGAGGUGGGUCAGAGAGAACAGAUGUCCCUGUGUGUGCUGGGCUGCCAAGUCAGGCUAGGGCAGUGAAGCCCGAGACACAAGAGCCCAAAUGGUGUGACAAAGGAGGAGCAGGAAGCCUGGCUCUGCCUGGAUGAACCUCAGAGAGCGCCAGUCCACAUCCACAUCCCAGCCCCAACCCUCGGCACACGGCCCACAACCCUAUUGAACUACUAGAGCAGGGCCGUGGACCAUGUGCUGACUUUUUGCUGGAUCACACAACCAUACACAUGAUCACAGGAGUGUAAACGCUGACAUAUGAUCACUAGAGGACAAGUGUGCAGAGUUUAAGCAGAAAUCUCACACACAUGCACAGGUAUAAACACUUCAUCUUGUCAGACUGUGGUAUAGCAUGUUAUUAUCGCGCUUCCUCUUGCUAAGUGGGAUCUAUAUUCCUGUGGUGGGGAUUUCCAGUGUCUUUCCAUAACAACUCCAAUCAAAGAAAAUGAAGGGGUAUUUAGUUCUUCUCCAGAAGUGUUCUGCAAACUUGCUUUGUAACGUUAGACGAGGAAGUCAAGGUUUCCUCUUCAGAAAUGAAUGCCUUUUUAAAUUGAAGCCGAGGAACUGACAGAUAGUUAAAUUGUGCAUGAAAUUUAGCUGGCGCAGGGAGCUAAGAAGCUGGACUGAUUAGGCAACAUCUGUUACAUUGGGGAGAAAUCCGUGUCUGUCCUAAUUAGCUGUCAG